GAUGAACGCUGGCGGCGUGCCUAAUACAUGCAAGUCGAGCGGACGGACGAGAAUUUUGCUUCUCUUAUGUUAGCGGCGGACGGGUGAGUAACACGUGUAUACCCUACCUAUAAGACUGGGAUAACUUCGGGAAACCGGAUCUAAUACCGGAUAAUAUUUUGAACCUCGUGGUUCAUCAGAGAAAGACGGUCUUGCUGUCACUAAUAGAGGGUUCCGCGCUGCAUGAGCUAGUUGGUAAGGUAACGGCUUACCAAGGCUACGAUGCAUAGCCGACCUGAGAGGAUGAUCGGCCACACGGGAACUGAGACACGGUCCAGACUCCUACGGGAGGCAGCAGUAGGGAAUCUUCCGCAAUGGGCGAAAGCCUGACGGAGCAACGCCGCGUGAGUGAUGAAGGUCUUCGGAUCGUAAAGCUCUGUUAGUAGGGAAGAACAUAUGUGUAAGUAAAUGUGCACAUCUUGACGGUACCUAAUCAGAAAGCAACGGCUAACUACGUG
RNAcentral lists this ribosomal RNA (497 nucleotides) under uncultured bacterium. RNAcentral describes it as "partial 16S ribosomal RNA". It matches the Rfam family "Bacterial small subunit ribosomal RNA", at positions 28 to 507 of the family's 1533-position model. The record is from RNAcentral.